Molecule: ribosomal RNA, 240 nt
Filed under: uncultured bacterium
Lineage: Bacteria
Description: partial 16S ribosomal RNA
Rfam family: Bacterial small subunit ribosomal RNA
Source: RNAcentral
UACGUAGGGGGCAAGCGUUAUCCGGAUUUACUGGGUGUAAAGGGAGCGUAGACGGCCAUGCAAGUCUGAAGUGAAAGGCGGGGGCUUAACCCCCGGACUGCUUUGGAAACUGCAGGGCUGGAGUGCAGGAGAGGUAAGUGGAAUUCCUAGUGUAGCGGUGAAAUGCGUAGAUAUUAGGAGGAACACCAGUGGCGAAGGCGGCUUACUGGACUGUAACUGACGUUGAGGCUCGAAAGCGUG